AACGAACGCUGGCGGCAGGCCUAACACAUGCAAGUCGAACGCUCGUAGCAAUACGAGAGUGGCAGACGGGUGAGUAACACGUGGGAACCUUCCCUAUGGUUCGGAAUAGCCCAGGGAAACUUGGGGUAAUACCGGAUAAGCCCUUCGGGGAAGGAUUUAUCGCCAUUGGAUGGGCCCGCGUCGGAUUAGCUAAUUGGUGAGGUAACGGCUCACCAAGGCGACGAUCCGUAGCUGGUCUGAGAGGAUGAUCAGCCACACUGGGACUGAGACACGGCCCAGACUCCUACGGGAGGCAGCAGUGGGAAUAUUGGACAAUGGGCGCAAGCCUGAUCCAGCCAUGCCGCGUGAGUGACGAAGGCCUUAGGGUUGUAAAGCUCUUUUGGCGGGAAGAUAAUGACGGUACCCGCAGAAUAAGCUCCGGCUAACUUCGUGCCAGCAGCCGC
RNAcentral lists this ribosomal RNA (443 nucleotides) under uncultured bacterium. Its description in RNAcentral is "bacterial SSU rRNA". It matches the Rfam family "Bacterial small subunit ribosomal RNA", at positions 29 to 518 of the family's 1533-position model. The record is from RNAcentral.